Molecule: non-coding RNA, 21 nt
Filed under: Arabidopsis thaliana (thale cress)
Lineage: Eukaryota; Viridiplantae; Streptophyta; Magnoliopsida; Brassicales; Brassicaceae
Source: RNAcentral
UCGGGUCAUAACGGAGGCCUA